This 206-nucleotide unclassified non-coding RNA is filed under the name Hevea brasiliensis (rubber tree). The record is from RNAcentral. Lineage: Eukaryota; Viridiplantae; Streptophyta; Magnoliopsida; Malpighiales; Euphorbiaceae.
GGGUUCUGAGAGAGAAUGGAUUAUUGGUUACAAGAGCCGGCGUAACAUCCGUGGGAGAGCAAGCAGUGUGUAUUUUAUGUGAGAGAUGCCCCAGGGAAUGCAGUGGACAUGAAGACUAUUGAAGCUCUUCAAAAAGAAAUUGGACACACGAUGAUGCUUAAUGUGAAAAAACCUGCGGCUACUGCAAGGGAACCUGAAGCCAAAGG